Myotis daubentonii (Daubenton's bat) is the source of this 1089-nucleotide long non-coding RNA. RefSeq lists it as uncharacterized. NCBI's taxonomy places the organism in Eukaryota, Metazoa, Chordata, Mammalia, Chiroptera, Vespertilionidae. The record is from RefSeq and is a predicted model, not a curated record.
ACUUACAUGCAGAUUUUUUUUCAUUAAAUAUGUAGUCUUUUCUUCGUAUUUCCGGGUUGUGCAUCCAUGCAUUCAACCAACCUUGGAUCAAAACAGUACUUUCUACUGGAGGCUGGGAAUCCAUGAAUGUGGAGGGCCGACCGAAGUUAUAAGUGGAUUUUCGACUGCUCAUGGGGUCAGCUCUCCAACCCCCAUUAUAACAGAUGGUUUAGUUAUAUUUGUAGAGCUUCACCAUUGCUCAUUUUUGCUACCCUGAAAAAUUAUCUGUAAAAGGUGGCCUGGUUGAUAAAACUAUGCAACAUUUGAUCCUUGAUCUGCUUUCUUAUUUCCUGGAAGAUUACAGAGUAUUUGCAAGCUAACUUAUUUUUUCUGAUAGAAAUAGCAAAUAUAAUUUUACAUUCUGAUCUAUUAUAGACACUGUGCAUUUAAAUUUACAUUUAAGACCAAACAUCUUUCUUAUUAUCUCUAAUAUUACUUUGAAUAAUUAUUGCAACAAUUCUUGGUAGGAUUUUGUAUAGCAUAUAAAAGAAUUAUGUCAGUACAUUUUUCUAGUGAAUUUAUUUUCUGUACUUUAUAGUUGGCUAUUUGAAGCUUUCAAGAUCAGCCUGCAUUUAUGUAACUUUCAAAAAUGAUAAUUAUAAUUAUGGUCAAGUCAAAAUAAUAAAACAUCCUUUUUCUCAGAAAAAAAAAAAAAGUGAGGGACAGAUGAAGUUUGUGAAGCAUGAAAGCCUGAGUAAACCUCCUGCUCACUGUGCAUUUGCUACCAGACCCUGUGCCUGCGCACCCUCCUGCAGGAGUAGAUGUUUGCCUUGUUGUCUGGCUCCUGAAUAUCUUUUGUGUUCUGCCAGGAUCCCUGGUUUUGGGGGGCUUGCCUCAUUUCUAACACCCCCGCCUGUAUGACUUGUAACUGCAAUGGUUAUACCAUGCCUGCUUUCCCAUGCCUGUAAUUCCUACUUUCCCACAUAAUCUUUGUCCUUCUACCCAAUGUAAGCAGCUGGCUCAUGGGUAGAGGCAGAGCAGAGUUUUGUGGAUGACCUGCUGCACUCCAAUUCUACCAACAUUAUUGGAAUAAACGUUUAUAUGAUUCAA